RNAcentral lists this ribosomal RNA (568 nucleotides) under Solibacillus isronensis. RNAcentral describes it as "bacterial SSU rRNA". It matches the Rfam family "Bacterial small subunit ribosomal RNA", at positions 93 to 647 of the family's 1533-position model. Lineage: Bacteria; Bacillati; Bacillota; Bacilli; Caryophanales; Caryophanaceae. The record is from RNAcentral.
UAGCGGCGGACGGGUGAGUAACACGUGGGUAACCUACCUUAUAGAUUGGGAUAACUCCGGGAAACCGGGGCUAAUACCGAAUAAUACUUUUUAACACAUGUUUUAAAGUUGAAAGACGGUUUCGGCUGUCACUUUAAGAUGGACCCCCGGCGCAUUAGCUAGUUGGGGAGGUAACGGCUCACCAAGGCAACGAUGCGUACCCAACCUGAGAGGGGGAUCGGCCCCCCUGGGACUGAAACCCGGCCCAAACUCCUACGGGAGGCAGCAGUAGGGAAUCUUCCCCAAUGGACGAAAGUCUGAUGGACCACCCCCCCGUGAGUGAAGAAGGAUUUCGGUUCGUAAAACUUUGUUGCAAGGGAAAAACAAGUAGCGUAGUAACUGGCCCUACCUUGACGGUACCUUGUUAAAAAGCCCCGGCUAACUACGUGCCAGCAGCCGCGGUAAUACGUAGGUGGCAAGCGUUGUCCGGAAUUAUGGGGCGUAAAGCGCGCGCAGGUGGUUCCUUAAGUCUGAUGUGAAAGCCCCCGGCUCAACCGGGGAGGGUCAUUGGAAACUGGGGAACUUGAGU